UGCCCUAUGGAUUCAGUUCUGCA
RNAcentral lists this microRNA (23 nucleotides) under Columba livia (rock pigeon). RNAcentral describes it as "Cli-Mir-146-P1_3p* (star (passenger))". RNAcentral also lists the same sequence under 2 other names. Lineage: Eukaryota; Metazoa; Chordata; Aves; Columbiformes; Columbidae. The record is from RNAcentral.